UCCCAGGGACAGAGGAGCCUGGUAGGAGGCAGUCUGUGGGGUGGCACAGAGUCGGACACAACUGAAGUGACUUAGCAGCAGCAGCAGCAGCAACAGGAUCCCAGGUGAUGCUGGUACUGCUGAUCUGGGUCCUCACUUAGAGAUUUGGGCCUUUACCAGCAGGCUUCAUGCAGUGUGCUGCUGGCCAGUUGUCACAGCUGGAGCCACUUAAUUCAUACCUGUUGAUUCUGUGCCAUGCACAUUGGGAGGAAUACAGGCCUUUCAUUGAUUCAGUAGGGUGGUGUAACGUUACAGCAGAUUUGAUGUGGGUAGCAGAGCUGAGCCCUUGACAAGUUUUCCAGUUCCCUUAGGUCCCUCAUCCCUUCCUGGAUUCCUUGCUGGACAUGCUGUUUCCUCUGGGAGUAGGACACUUGGGUUUUCCCUCCUCGGAUCUUUCUGGAAGCUGAAGACGAACAGGUCAUUGCAGUACUAAUGGGGCAGUGAAGAAUUUUGGAGCCAAUACUCAGGAGAGAAAACAAACCCAGAAAGGAGACUAUAAAAAUUAAGGUCCACCCAAGGGCAUUUACCUAUGAUGGAAUAUGCUGCUGCUGCUGCU
Molecule: long non-coding RNA, 595 nt
Organism: Bubalus bubalis (water buffalo)
Lineage: Eukaryota; Metazoa; Chordata; Mammalia; Artiodactyla; Bovidae
Exons: 2
Source: RefSeq, a predicted model, not a curated record